Molecule: ribosomal RNA, 253 nt
Filed under: uncultured bacterium
Lineage: Bacteria
Description: partial 16S ribosomal RNA
Rfam family: Bacterial small subunit ribosomal RNA
Source: RNAcentral
UACGUAGGGGGCCAGCGUUGUCCGGAAUCAUUGGGCGUAAAGAGCGCGUAGGCGGCCAGAUAAGUCUGGUGUGAAAGUCAAAGGCUCAACCUUUGAAUGCCGCUGGAAACUGUCUGGCUAGAGUCCGGGAGGGGCGAGUGGAAUUCCUGGUGUAGCGGUGAAAUGCGCAGAUAUCAGGAGGAACACCAAUGGCGAAGGCAGCUCGCUGGAACGGUACUGACGCUGAGGCGCGAAAGCGUGGGGAGCGAACAGG